ACACGUGGACAAUCUGCCCUUGGGUCUGGGAUAACUCCGGGAAACUGGAGAUAAUACCAGAUAGGUCAUAGAUGCUGGAAUGCUCUAUGGCCCAAAGCUCCGGCGCCCAAGGAUGAGUCUGCGGCCUAUCAGGUUGUAGUGGGCGUAAUGGACCCACUAGCCUACGACGGGUACGGGUUGUGAGAGCAAGAGCCCGGAGAUGGAUUCUGAGACAUGAAUCCAGGCCCUACGGGGCGCAGCAGGCGCGAAACCUUUACAAUGCGCGCAAGCGCGAUAAGGGGACCUCGAGUGUUCCUACCUAGUAGGAACUGUCCAGUUGUCUAAAAAACAACUGUUAGCAAGAGCCGGGCAAGACCGGUGCCAGCCGCCGCGGUAACACCGGCGGCUCGAGUGGUGACCGCUUUUAUUGGGUCUAAAGGGUCUGUAGCCGGUCUAACAAGUUCUUUGGAAAAUCUGGUCGCUUAACGAUCAGGCUGCUAGGGGAUACUGUUAGACUUGGGACCGGGAGAGGCUAGAGGUACUUUAGGGGUAGGGGUGAAAUCCUGUGAUCCUUAAAGGACCACCAGUGGCGAAGGCGUCUAGCUAGAACGGAUCCGACGGUGAGGGACGAAAGCUGGGGGCACGAACCGGAUUAGAUACCCGGGUAGUCCCAGCCGUAAACGAUGCGAGCUAGGUGUCAGUUUUAUUGCGAGUAAAAUUGGUGCCGUAGGGAAGCCGUGAAGCUCGCCACCUGGGAAGUACGGCCGCAAGGCUGAAACUUAAAGGAAUUGGCGGGGGAGCACUACAACGGGUGGAGCCUGCGGUUCAAUUGGA
Molecule: ribosomal RNA, 813 nt
Filed under: uncultured archaeon
Lineage: Archaea
Description: bacterial SSU rRNA
Rfam family: Archaeal small subunit ribosomal RNA
Source: RNAcentral